CCUACGGGUGGCUGCAGUGGGGAAUAUUGCACAAUGGGGGAAACCCUGAUGCAGCGCCGCCGCGUGAGUGAAGAAGUAUCUCGGUACGUAAAGCUCUAUCAGCAGGGAAGAAAAUGACGGUACCUGACUAAGAAGCCCCGGCUAACUACGUGCCAGCAGCCGCGGUCAUCCGUAGGGGGCAAGCGUUAUCCGGAUUUACUGGGUGUAAAGGGAGCGUAGACGGCAGCACAAGUCUGGAGUGAAAGCCCGGGGCUUAACCCCGGAACUGCGUUGGAAACUGUGCGGCUGGAGGGCAGGAGGGGUAAGCGGAAUUCCUAGUGUAGCGGUGAAAUGCGGAGAUAUUAGGAGGAACACCGGUGGCGAAGGCGGCUGACUGGACUGUAACUGACGUUGAGGCUCGAAAGCGUGGGGAGCAAACAGGAUUAGAUACCCCUGUAGUC
RNAcentral lists this ribosomal RNA (440 nucleotides) under uncultured bacterium. RNAcentral's name for it is "partial 16S ribosomal RNA". It matches the Rfam family "Bacterial small subunit ribosomal RNA", at positions 338 to 795 of the family's 1533-position model. The record is from RNAcentral.